GAUGAACGUUGGCGGCGUGCCUAAUACAUGCAAGUCGAGCGAACAGACGAGGAGCUUGCUCCUCUGACGUUAGCGGCGGACGGGUGAGUAACACGUGGAUAACCUACCUAUAAGACUGGGAUAACUUCGGGAAACCGGAGCUAAUACCGGAUAAUAUAUUGAACCGCAUGGUUCAAUAGUGAAAGACGGUUUUGCUGUCACUUAUAGAUGGAUCCGCGCCGCAUUAGCUAGUUGGUAAGGUAACGGCUUACCAAGGCAACGAUGCGUAGCCGACCUGAGAGGGUGAUCGGCCACACUGGAACUGAGACACGGUCCAGACUCCUACGGGAGGCAGCAGUAGGGAAUCUUCCGCAAUGGGCGAAAGCCUGACGGAGCAACGCCGCGUGAGUGAUGAAGGUCCUCGGAUCGUAAAACUCUGUUAUUAGGGAAGAACAAAUGUGUAAGUAACUAUGCACGUCUUGACGGUACCUAAUCAGAAAGCCACGGCUAACUACGUG
This 497-nucleotide ribosomal RNA is filed under the name uncultured bacterium. RNAcentral's name for it is "partial 16S ribosomal RNA". It matches the Rfam family "Bacterial small subunit ribosomal RNA", at positions 28 to 507 of the family's 1533-position model. The record is from RNAcentral.